AAAUGCGAUAAGUAAUGUGAAUUGCAGAAUUCAGUGAAUCAUCGAAUCUUUGAACGCACCUUGCGCUCCUUGGUAUUCCUUGGAGCAUGCCUAUUUGAGUAUCAUGAAAUCUUCAAAGUAAAUCUUUUGUUAACUCAAUUGGUUUCUACUUUGGUAUUGGAGGUCUUUGCAGCUUCACACCUGCUCCUCUUUGUUCAUUAGCUGGAUCUCAGUGUUAUGCUUGGUUCCACUCGGCGUGAUAAGUUAUCUAUCGCUGAGGACACUGUAAAAGGUGGCCAAGGUAAAUGCAGAUGAACCGCUUCUAAUAGUCCAUUGACUUGGACAAUACUUUUAUGAUCUGAUCUCAAAUCAGGUAGGACUACCCGCUGAACUUAAGC
This 377-nucleotide unclassified non-coding RNA is filed under the name plant metagenome. RNAcentral describes it as "partial contains 5.8S ribosomal RNA, internal transcribed spacer 2, and large subunit ribosomal RNA". The stretch from base 1 to 104 matches the Rfam family "5.8S ribosomal RNA", at positions 51 to 154 of the family's 154-position model. The record is from RNAcentral.